This 931-nucleotide ribosomal RNA is filed under the name Diaporthe passiflorae. RNAcentral's name for it is "eukaryotic LSU rRNA". It matches the Rfam family "Eukaryotic large subunit ribosomal RNA", at positions 1 to 962 of the family's 3401-position model. The record is from RNAcentral. Lineage: Eukaryota; Fungi; Ascomycota; Sordariomycetes; Diaporthales; Diaporthaceae.
UUUGACCUCGGAUCAGGUAGGAAUACCCGCUGAACUUAAGCAUAUCAAUAAGCGGAGGAAAAGAAACCAACAGGGAUUGCCCUAGUAACGGCGAGUGAAGCGGCAACAGCUCAAAUUUGAAAUCUGGCUUCGGCCCGAGUUGUAAUUUGCAGAGGAUGUUUCUGGCGCGGUGCCUUCCGAGUUCCCUGGAACGGGACGCCAAAGAGGGUGAGAGCCCCGUAUGGUUGGACACCAAGCCUGUGUGAAACUCCUUCGACGAGUCGAGUAGUUUGGGAAUGCUGCUCUAAAUGGGAGGUAAAUCUCUUCUAAAGCUAAAUACCGGCCAGAGACCGAUAGCGCACAAGUAGAGUGAUCGAAAGAUGAAAAGCACCUUGAAAAGGGGGUUAAAUAGUACGUGAAAUUGUUGAAAGGGAAGCACUUAUGACCAGACUUGGGCCGGGCAGCUCAUCAGGGGUUCUCCCCUGUGCACUCUGCCCGGCACAGGCCAGCAUCGGUUUUCGCGGGGGGAUAAGACCGUCAGGAACGUAGCACCCUCCGGGGUGUGUUAUAGCCUGGCGGACGAUACCCUCGCGGGGACCGAGGUUCGCGCUCCGCAAGGAUGCUGGCGUAAUGGUCAUCAGUGACCCGUCUUGAAACACGGACCAAGGAGUCGUCCAUUAGAGCGAGCGUUUGGGUGUAAAACCCGCACGCGUAAUGAAAGUGAACGCAGGUGAGAGCUUCGGCGCAUCAUCGACCGAUCCUGAUGUUCUCGGAAGGAUUUGAGUAAGAGUUUUAACGGACGGACCCGAAAGACAGUGAACUAUGCUUGAAUAGGGUGAAGCCAGAGGAAACUCUGGUGGAGGCUCGCAGCGGUUCUGACGUGCAAAUCGAUCGUCAAAUUUGAGCAUGGGGGCGAAAGACUAAUCGAACUGUCUAGUAGCUGGUUACCGCC